This 380-nucleotide long non-coding RNA is filed under the name Vitis vinifera (wine grape). RNAcentral's name for it is "long non-coding RNA (VVIN_LNC001779)". Lineage: Eukaryota; Viridiplantae; Streptophyta; Magnoliopsida; Vitales; Vitaceae. The record is from RNAcentral.
CUGCAGGAGCACAUACAAUAGGCCAAGCGAGAUGCACCUCCUUCAGGGCCAGGAUAUACAACGAAACCAACAUCGAUAGCUCCUUCGCUAAGACAAGGCAAGCGAGCUGCCCGAGUGCUUCUGGUUCAGGAGACAACAACCUGGCACCUCUGGAUCUUCAGACCCCUACCACCUUUGACAACUACUACUACAAGAACCUGAUCAACCAAAAGGGUCUUCUUCACUCUGAUCAAGUUCUCUACAAUGGAGGUUCCACUGACUCCACAGUUAAAACCUACGUCAACAACCCAAAGACCUUCACUUCUGACUUUGUUGCCGGAAUGAUCAAGAUGGGUGAUAUCACUCCACUCACUGGGUCUGAAGGGGAGAUCAGGAAGAGC